This 222-nucleotide unclassified non-coding RNA is filed under the name Hevea brasiliensis (rubber tree). The record is from RNAcentral. Lineage: Eukaryota; Viridiplantae; Streptophyta; Magnoliopsida; Malpighiales; Euphorbiaceae.
GAAAGCUUCACAAAAGGCCAAAUUUCACUGACCUCCUCCAUAUCCAUCUGGCUUUCUUUGAGUCCUUCAAGAGAUCCCUUCUGUUUCUGCUUUAAUGGAAGAGGUCAGUUAGUUCCAGUACAUGGGGUCCAUGCAGAUUUCUGGGUCACCCUUAUUUUCCUCUUUAAUACCAUCUUUCUUGUGAUGCAACUUUUGUUUCUUUCUUCUUUGUCAAAAGGGGGA